UACUGGACUAUUCUGCCAUCAAUCUUAUCGCUUUUCUCUAAAUUAACCCCUGCCUGUCUCAGUAUAACGCAACUUUCUACUGAUAAACUGCGAACGCCUCACUAUAUCAUCUAUAGUUUAUUUGAUGGUUUUUGCUACAUGGAUAACUGUGGUACUUCUAGAGCUAAUAACUGCAUUCUACCCCCAACUUCUGGAAGGGAUGUAUUUAUUAGAUGAAACUCCCCUUUGUUGACGAAUCAUAAUAACAUCUCCCACCCCUUGCCCACAUGCUGGCACUGCUUCAUUCCAUAUCUGCCCUAUCAACUGUCCAUGGAACAUAUAAAGGCCUACCAUGCCUGCUACUGCCAACGACUAAUAAUGGUUCGAUUCCAGAGAGCCCAUCCUAGAAAACGGCCUACCACCUCUCAACAAUGCAGCUAGCUCGCAAAUUACCCUCUCCCUCCACAUCGAAGUAGUGACAAUAUGUCACUCUAUCCAGUCUUAUCCGUCAUACACCUGCAAUGAUUACAACUUAAAUCACUUAUCGAUCAACCAUUCCAUCCCAUGUCUGGAGCCGGCGACCUCCCCCAUUCCAACUCCAAUAACGCAUCUUACUCCUCUCCCGGUUAAGAACCUCCUACUUUUACCUUGAACCUGAACCUUGCGACCAUCUCACCGCCAGAACUGACUUGCUGUGAUCUUUCGUCAUUGUGACCAUCUGUUCUCACAGAUAAGCAUCCACCGAUCCCUACUCUGAAAUAAUUUACAGUGUACGACUACAAGCUCUAUCUCAUCAAUAUCUUAUCCCGGAAUCAUCGUACUAUGACGAGCGAGUCUAUCUUGGCGAAUGCUGUACUCGACGUAAUGACUAAUANGAAUCCGACAGUUGCAUCUCUACUCUGCUGCUACUAGUGCACCUCACUGAUCUUAGUAAAGCNUUACGCUAUGACAGCAUUCGACAAAGAGAUCUCAUCAUCCAGUACGUAAGUCAGGCUACUAAAUACAUAGCUACCGUGCUUGCAUACUCUAUUCUUGCCACUAGGUUCUGUUACCUGCUCCUUUUCAUCGAUCGCACAUGGAAGACACCAAGUAUUUGGUCCCGGGGGAGAAAGCCC
Molecule: ribosomal RNA, 1094 nt
Filed under: uncultured eukaryote
Lineage: Eukaryota
Description: bacterial SSU rRNA
Rfam family: Eukaryotic small subunit ribosomal RNA (bases 39-458)
Source: RNAcentral